GUGUUGCUGGGUAAAGAUAUGACAACACUGUGUGAUUGGGGUGAUAUCAUAGCCAGGGUACAAGGAAAGCAUGAAGAUGCUGCAUGAUGAACAUGGUGUGAGAACCUAAACAGAACAAAGGGGAUUGACUGCACCCAGAAGCUGGUUUAAAAACAAAUCUGAACACUCAUCCAUGUUACCGCAAUUUCAGAAUGCUCUGAGCUACUUGAAGAGAAUCAAGAGGAAAUAGUUCUCUGCUAAUGCACCUGAAGCAACCAUUCAAGGCUGACCGGCUUCCCCCUGACCCCACCCUUCCCUUCAAUAGAAGUUGCAUUUUCAUUAUACUUGAAGUUUCCUGAGAAAGUCAUUACAAUUGAUGACUCUUGAGAACUGGGAUUUGAGAGUAUCACCCGAUAGGUUUAAAAAGUGUGUCACACAGAAACCAACGAACGAAGAACAUCAAUGUACUUGGGACAUAUUUUUGCACAAAUAUGUAUUUGUGAUAAAGUUAGUUGGGAUUUGCCAGUGUUUUCCAAACACCCACAAAGAAUA
Molecule: long non-coding RNA, 531 nt
Organism: Mauremys reevesii (Reeves's turtle)
Lineage: Eukaryota; Metazoa; Chordata; Testudines; Geoemydidae
Exons: 3
Source: RefSeq, a predicted model, not a curated record